UACGGGGGGUGCGAGCGUUGUCCGGAAUCACUGGGCGUAAAGCGCACGUAGGCGGAUUGUUAAGUCAGGGGUGAAAUCCUGGAGCUCAACUCCAGAACUGCCUUUGAUACUGAAGAUCUUGAGUCCGGGAGAGGUGAGUGGAACUGCGAGUGUAGAGGUGAAAUUCGUAGAUAUUCGCAAGAACACCAGUGGCGAAGGCGGCUCACUGGCCCGGUACUGACGCUGAGGCACGAAAGCGUGGGGAGCAAACAGG
RNAcentral lists this ribosomal RNA (253 nucleotides) under uncultured bacterium. Its description in RNAcentral is "partial 16S ribosomal RNA". It matches the Rfam family "Bacterial small subunit ribosomal RNA", at positions 524 to 776 of the family's 1533-position model. The record is from RNAcentral.